GACGAACGCUGGCGGCGUGCUUAACACAUGCAAGUCGAGCGGUAAGGCCCUUCGGGGUACACGAGCGGCGAACGGGUGAGUAACACGUGGGUGACCUGCCCUCCACUUCGGGAUAAGCCUGGGAAACCGGGUCUAAUACCGGAUAGGACCUCCGCAUGCAUGUGCGGUGGUGGAAAGUUUUUCGGUGGAGGAUGGGCCCGCGGUCUAUCAGCUUGUUGGUGGGGUGAUGGCCUACCAAGGCGACGACGGAUAGCCGGCCUGAGAGGGUGAUCGGCCACACUGGGACUGAGACACGGCCCAGACUCCUACGGGAGGCAGCAGUGGGGAAUCUUGCGCAAUGGGCGAAAGCCUGACGCAGCAACGCCGCGUGGGGGAUGACGGCCUUCGGGUUGUAAACCUCUUUCGCGAUCGACGAAGCUCGUACUUCUGGUACGGGUGACGGUAGGUCGAGAAGAAGCACCGGCCAACUACGUGCCAGCCGCCGCCGUAACAC
Molecule: ribosomal RNA, 493 nt
Filed under: uncultured bacterium
Lineage: Bacteria
Description: bacterial SSU rRNA
Rfam family: Bacterial small subunit ribosomal RNA
Source: RNAcentral